GACGAACGCUGGCGGCGUGCUUAACACAUGCAAGUCGAACGGAAAGGCCUGCUUUCCCUUGUGGAUUGCGGGUACUCGAGUGGCGAACGGGUGAGUAACACGUGAGUGAUCUGCCCCCAACUUGGGUAUAAGCCUGGGAAACUGGGUCUAAUUCCCGAUAGGACUGCAGGGUGGUGCCUGUGGUGGAAAACGAUUUUCUAGUGGUUGGGGAUGAGCUCGCGGCCUAUCAGCUUGUUGGUGGGGUAAUGGCCUACCAAGGCGGCGACGUGUAGCCGGCCUGAGAGGGUGGACGGCCACAUUGGGACUGAGAUACGGCCCAGACUCCUACGGGAGGCAGCAGUGGGGAAUAUUGCACAAUGGGCGGAAGCCUGAUGCAGCGACGCCGCGUGGGGGAUGACGGCCUUCGGGUUGUAAACUCCUUUCGACCGCGAGGAAGCCACCUGGUUGGAAGGGUGGUGACGGUAGUGGUAGAAGAAGCACCGGCUAACUACGUG
Molecule: ribosomal RNA, 494 nt
Filed under: uncultured bacterium
Lineage: Bacteria
Description: partial 16S ribosomal RNA
Rfam family: Bacterial small subunit ribosomal RNA
Source: RNAcentral